Molecule: ribosomal RNA, 465 nt
Filed under: Vreelandella stevensii
Lineage: Bacteria; Pseudomonadati; Pseudomonadota; Gammaproteobacteria; Oceanospirillales; Halomonadaceae
Description: partial 16S ribosomal RNA
Rfam family: Bacterial small subunit ribosomal RNA
Source: RNAcentral
CCUACGGGAGGCAGCAGUGGGGAAUAUUGGACAAUGGGGGCAACCCUGAUCCAGCCAUGUCGCGUGUGUGAAGAAGGCCCUCGGGUUGUAAAGCACUUUCAGUGAGGAAGAACGCCUGGUGGUUAAUACCCAUCAGGAAAGACAUCACUCACAGAAGAAGCACCGGCUAACUCCGUGCCAGCAGCCGCGGUAAUACGGAGGGUGCGAGCGUUAAUCGGAAUUACUGGGCGUAAAGCGCGCGUAGGUGGCUUGAUAAGCCGGUUGUGAAAGCCCCGGGCUCAACCUGGGAACGGCAUCCGGAACUGUCAAGCUAGAGUGCAGGAGAGGAAGGUAGAAUUCCCGGUGUAGCGGUGAAAUGCGUAGAGAUCGGGAGGAAUACCAGUGGCGAAGGCGGCCUUCUGGACUGACACUGACACUGAGGUGCGAAAGCGUGGGUAGCAAACAGGAUUAGAUACCCUGGUAGUC